This 109-nucleotide microRNA precursor is filed under the name Ixodes scapularis (black-legged tick). Its description in RNAcentral is "microRNA mir-286". The record is from RNAcentral. Lineage: Eukaryota; Metazoa; Arthropoda; Arachnida; Ixodida; Ixodidae.
CGUGUCUCGAAUGUCGCGUGUCAUGCUUUCUUUUCGAACUGGUGCAUCAUAUUAAGCGAGGCUACCAGUUCGAAAAGAAAGCAUGACACGCGACAUUCGAGACACGAAU